RNAcentral lists this ribosomal RNA (784 nucleotides) under uncultured bacterium. RNAcentral describes it as "bacterial SSU rRNA". It matches the Rfam family "Bacterial small subunit ribosomal RNA", at positions 601 to 1386 of the family's 1533-position model. The record is from RNAcentral.
CCCCGGGCUCAACCUGGGAACUGCGUUNUGAACUGGGUGACUAGAGUGUGUCAGAGGGAGGUAGAAUUCCACGUGUAGCAGUGAAAUGCGUAGAGAUGUGGAGGAAUACCGAUGGCGAAGGCAGCCUCCUGGGAUAACACUGACGUUCAUGCCCGAAAGCGUGGGUAGCAAACAGGAUUAGAUACCCUGGUAGUCCACGCCCUAAACGAUGUCGAUUAGCUGUUGGGCAGCAUGACUGCUUAGUAGCGAAGCUAACGCGUGAAAUCGACCGCCUGGGGAGUACGGUCGCAAGAUUAAAACUCAAAGGAAUUGACGGGGACCCGCACAAGCGGUGGAUGAUGUGGAUUAAUUCGAUGCAACGCGAAGAACCUUACCUGGUCUUGACAUGUACGGAACCCUCCAGAGACGGAGGGGUGCCUUCGGGAGCCGUAACACAGGUGCUGCAUGGCUGUCGUCAGCUCGUGUCGUGAGAUGUUGGGUUAAGUCCCGCAACGAGCGCAACCCUUGUCAUUAGUUGCCAUCAUUAAGUUGGGCACUCUAAUGAGACUGCCGGUGACAAGCCGGAGGAAGGUGGGGAUGACGUCAAGUCCUCAUGGCCCUUAUGACCAGGGCUUCACACGUCAUACAAUGGUCGGUACAGAGGGUAGCCAAGCCGCGAGGUGGAGCCAAUCUCACAAAACCGAUCGUAGUCCGGAUUGCACUCUGCAACUCGAGUGCAUGAAGUCGGAAUCGCUAGUAAUCGCAGGUCAGCAUACUGCGGUGAAUACGUUCCCGGGUCUUGUAC